Rosa chinensis is the source of this 363-nucleotide long non-coding RNA. RefSeq lists it as uncharacterized. NCBI's taxonomy places the organism in Eukaryota, Viridiplantae, Streptophyta, Magnoliopsida, Rosales, Rosaceae. The record is from RefSeq and is a predicted model, not a curated record. The transcript is spliced from 2 exons.
GGUAAAUUAAAUAUAAAGCCUAAGGUCUAUGAUUUUAGUGCAGACAAGGUUGACAUCGAAACUAAAACCGAAAGUGAAGAAGGCAUGGUUCCAACUUCCUAUAUUAACAUUAGAUUUGUGUUCUUUCCAAUUUCUGACCUGAAACUGUUGAGGAUGCUAGCUAAUGAAGGUCCUGCAGUGUUGUGUUCCUUGCAAUCUCUAAACCUGAAACUGUUGAGGAAGCUAGCAAAUGAAGGCGUUACAGUGUUGGGGUUGCCUUGACUAGUCUUUUUUUUUUUUUUUUUUUGGAUUUGUGAUUUUUGGUUGGUGUAAGAAUGAUAGAUAUUGUAUUUUGAUAUUUGUCAAUUUAUAAUAUUUGUGGAA